UACGUAGGGCGCAAGCGUUGUCCGGAAUUAUUGGGCGUAAAGAGCUCGUAGGCGGUUUGUCGCGUCUGGUGUGAAAACUCGAGGCUCAACCUCGAGCUUGCAUCGGGUACGGGCAGACUAGAGUGCGGUAGGGGAGACUGGAAUUCCUGGUGUAGCGGUGGAAUGCGCAGAUAUCAGGAGGAACACCGAUGGCGAAGGCAGGUCUCUGGGCCGCAACUGACGCUGAGGAGCGAAAGCAUGGGGAGCGAACAGG
This 253-nucleotide ribosomal RNA is filed under the name uncultured bacterium. Its description in RNAcentral is "partial 16S ribosomal RNA". It matches the Rfam family "Bacterial small subunit ribosomal RNA", at positions 524 to 776 of the family's 1533-position model. The record is from RNAcentral. RNAcentral also lists the same sequence under 2 other names.